This 220-nucleotide unclassified non-coding RNA is filed under the name plant metagenome. RNAcentral's name for it is "partial contains small subunit ribosomal RNA, internal transcribed spacer 1, and 5.8S ribosomal RNA". The record is from RNAcentral.
UUUCCGUAGGUGAACCUGCGGAAGGAUCAUUACAGAGUUCAUGCCCUCACGGGUAGAUCUCCCACCCUUGAAUAUUUAUACCUUAGUUGCUUUGGCAGGCCGUGGAAACACCAUGGGCUCCGGCUUAUGCGUGCCUGCCAGAGGAAACAAACUCUGUUUUUAGUGAUGUCUGAGUACUAUAUAAUAGUUAAAACUUUCAACAACGGAUCUCUUGGUUCUA